This 253-nucleotide ribosomal RNA is filed under the name uncultured bacterium. RNAcentral's name for it is "partial 16S ribosomal RNA". It matches the Rfam family "Bacterial small subunit ribosomal RNA", at positions 524 to 776 of the family's 1533-position model. The record is from RNAcentral.
UACGUAGGUGGCAAGCGUUGUCCGGAGUUAUUGGGCGUAAAGCGCGCGCAGGCGGUGCGGUAAGUCUCUGGUGAAAGCGCUCGGCUUAACUGGGCGAGGGCCGGGGAGACUGCCACGCUGGAGGGGAGCAGAGGCGAGUGGAAUUCCGGGUGUAGUGGUGAAAUGCGUAGAGAUCCGGAGGAACACCGGUGGCGAAGGCGGGUCUCUGGGCCGAUACUGACGCUGAGGAGCGAAAGCGUGGGGAGCGAACAGG